This 413-nucleotide ribosomal RNA is filed under the name uncultured bacterium. RNAcentral's name for it is "bacterial SSU rRNA". It matches the Rfam family "Bacterial small subunit ribosomal RNA", at positions 355 to 775 of the family's 1533-position model. The record is from RNAcentral.
UGGGGAAUUUUUGGCAAUGGGGGCAACCCUGACCAAGCAACGCCGCGUGGGUGAUGAAGUCUCUUGGGACGUAAAACCCUUUCGACGGGGAAGAAAACCGCAAGGUUUGACGGUACCCGUAGAAGAAGCCCCGGCUAACUCCGUGCCAGCAGCCGCGGUAAUACGGGGGGGGCAAGCGUUGUUCGGAAUUACUGGGCGUAAAGGGCGCGUAGGCGGUUCGUUAAGUCGGAUGUGAAAACUCUGGGCUCAACCCAGAGCCUGCAUCCGAAACUGGCGGGCUAGAGUUCUGGAGGGGGUAGCGGAAUUCCUGGUGUAGCGGUGAAAUGCGUAGAUAUCAGGAGGAACACCGGUGGCGAAGGCGGCUACCUGGACAGAAACUGACGCUGAGGCGCGAAAGCUAGGGGAGCAAACAG